AGUGAACGCUGGCGGUAGGCCUAACACAUGCAAGUCGAACGGCAGCACAGAGGAGCUUGCUCCUUGGGUGGCGAGUGGCGGACGGGUGAGGAAUACAUCGGAAUCUACUCUGUCGUGGGGGAUAACGUAGGGAAACUUACGCUAAUACCGCAUACGACCUACGGGUGAAAGCAAGGGAUCUUCGGACCUUGCGCGAUUGAAUGAGCCGAUGUCGGAUUAGCUGGUUGGCGGGGUAAAGGCCCACCAAGGCGACGAUCCGUAGCUGGUCUGAGAGGAUGAUCAGCCACACUGGAACUGAGACACGGUCCAGACUUCUACGGGAGGCAGCAGUGGGGAAUAUUGGACAAUGGGCGCAAGCCUGAUCCAGCCAUACCGCGUGGGUGAAGAAGGCCUUCGGGUUGUAAAGCCCUUUUGUUGGGAAAGAAAUCCAGCUGGCUAAUACCCGGUUGGGAUGACGGUACCCAAAGAAUAAGCACCGGCUAACUUCGUGCCAGCAGCCGCGGUAA
RNAcentral lists this ribosomal RNA (506 nucleotides) under uncultured bacterium. Its description in RNAcentral is "partial 16S ribosomal RNA". It matches the Rfam family "Bacterial small subunit ribosomal RNA", at positions 29 to 523 of the family's 1533-position model. The record is from RNAcentral.